GAGUGUGUUACACGAUCCAUAAAUUUGAUACGAUGAUAUUAUUUAUUGACUACGUACAGUUCGGUUAAAUUGAAAUUUAAAUAAAUCUUAACCAACAUCGAAAUAGUAUAAACCGGAUAUCCAUUAUAUUUUCCAUUGAUAUUGGUCUGAAAUAUAUUUUUCCGUUCUAUAUACUCGGAUACAACCACUGCUUGAAUAUUAUAUGAAGAUCACACCCUACUCCUCGGCUUUAUAAUGAAUUUUGACUGAUUGUAGACAAUGUAUAAUGUUACUAUACAAAAAAAAACAUAUUGGACUGCUAAUUCAUUAUGUGAUUUGUAGAACGCAUGAUAUGAUCAAAUUUCCUAACGAAACCAUAUUCGAAUGAUUUGUAGAAUGCAUGAUAUGAUCAUAUUCGAAUGACAUAAUCAUAAAAAUUAUAUAUAUA
RNAcentral lists this long non-coding RNA (427 nucleotides) under Brassica napus (rape). RNAcentral's name for it is "long non-coding RNA (BNAP_LNC010239)". The record is from RNAcentral. Lineage: Eukaryota; Viridiplantae; Streptophyta; Magnoliopsida; Brassicales; Brassicaceae.